GUGGGGUGCCAGAAGCCUAGGAUAAGGGGGAGGACUUAAGAUCCUCUGGCGUAGGCCUUCGUGGGUUCAAAUCCCACCCCCCGCA
This 85-nucleotide transfer RNA is filed under the name Candidatus Bathyarchaeota archaeon. RNAcentral describes it as "tRNA-Leu". It matches the Rfam family "tRNA". Rfam says of the family: Transfer RNA (tRNA) molecules are approximately 80 nucleotides in length. Their secondary structure includes four short double-helical elements and three loops (D, anti-codon, and T loops). Lineage: Archaea; Thermoproteati; Candidatus Bathyarchaeota. The record is from RNAcentral.